Molecule: ribosomal RNA, 482 nt
Filed under: uncultured bacterium
Lineage: Bacteria
Description: partial 16S ribosomal RNA
Rfam family: Bacterial small subunit ribosomal RNA
Source: RNAcentral
AUUGGACGCUGGCGGCAUGCUUUACACAUGCAAGUCGAACGGUAACAGCACUUCGGUGGCUGACGAGUGGCGAACGGGUGAGUAAUACAUCGGAACGUGCCUAGUAGUGGGGGAUAACUACUCGAAAGAGUAGCUAAUACCGCAUGAGAUCUAAGGAUGAAAGCAGGGGACCUUCGGGCCUUGCGCUACUAGAGCGGCUGAUGGCAGAUGAGGUAGUUGGUGGGAUAAAAGCUUACCAAGCCGACGAUCUGUAGCUGGUCUGAGAGGACGACCAGCCACACUGGGACUGAGACACGGCCCAGACUCCUACGGGAGGCAGCAGUGGGGAAUUUUGGACAAUGGGCGCAAGCCUGAUCCAGCAAUGCCGCGUGCAGGAUGAAGGCCUUCGGGUUGUAAACUGCUUUUGUACGGAACGAAAAGCCCUCUUCUAAUACAGGAGGGUCAUGACGGUACCGUAAGAAUAAGCACCGGCUAACUACGUG